CAGGAAACCUGUCUGAGGAUGUUCACAUAUAACCAUUUCAUUUAAUUGUAUGUACAAUGUACAAUUUGAGAUGAAUAAUUCUAUGCAAUGUAGGAUGGCCAUAGUACCUCUGAUUCUAUAGCACCGGUCUGUCAAAAAGUCCAAAGAGCUCCCCGCUUGACAAUUUUGCCCAGUACAGGGGCUUCAAUUUUAUUUGUAUCAUUAUUUACAGUCACUUAUUGCAAUUAAUAAGAGUGAUGAAUCCCUUUAAUUCUUAUGUAGGUCUUGUAAGGAAUCUGAUUGUUGGGCUCCUUUAGCAAAAGUCUAAUUGAGCAAUUAAAAACUAGAAACUAAAACAAUAUACCUUUCAAAGUUGUUUAUGCUUUGGAAAGCCUUUUCAUCUGACAGGUUAGUCAUUUAUUUUGCAAGAUAUUCUGUUAUAUCCUUACAUUAAUACUUAUUUUCAGAGAGCUAAUUGUUUUGAGAUAAUUGUGUUAGCUCCAUGCAGCAUAGUUUUUGCUGAGCUAAGUUUUAACAUUAUUCCUGCUGCUUUUUAAGAUAGCUGCUAUAAGUACCUCCCAUGGAAAGUCAUUCCUAUGGUUCCUGUAAAAAUCUUGCAGAGGAUGUAGUACACCAUCUUACCCAUAGUCCAUAAUGUGAGGAGUCUCAUGUGAAAAAGCUGUCUGAAAUUGCUACAAGGAGGAAUUUUGUUUUGCAAACUGAGAUUGUUUUUUAUAUUUGGAUAGAUAUACUUAGGUGUCAGUACAUGUUUCUCUAUUUGCAUUAACAGAUGGGAAGAUAAGAACGAAUACUUUGUAUUUGUUCUUUUUUAAAUUGUAAAGGCUUUUAGCUAUACUUUUGAACUGAACUGAAAUAUGGAUUAGGUAAGCAUGUUGGCCAGUCUAAUAGGGCUGUUACACAUUGUUGCAAUAAUUAUCUGAAACAAACAAAUCCAAACUGUUUAACAAAACCUCUCUUUAUGUCUCAGGCUGUGCAUUAAGAUGUUAUACCUGUGAACAAAGCCCCUUCCUGUGUAGGACCAAUGUUACUUGCCAUGAAGAUGAAGAUUCCUGCUUGCAAAUUAGGUUUGUGAAUUUGAGAACCUAUAGUUGUUGGAAAACCUCACGAUGCACCACAAAAGAGGUUGCUGAUCACUUUAACGCUGACAGUUUUAGAUUCCUCUGUUGCCAACGAGAUCUUUGCAACAAGACUCCAAGUCUCCUGGUCGGUAUUGCUCCGCUGGGUAUUUCCGCAGUGACUGCA
Molecule: long non-coding RNA, 1242 nt
Filed under: Pogona vitticeps (central bearded dragon)
Lineage: Eukaryota; Metazoa; Chordata; Lepidosauria; Squamata; Agamidae
Description: lncRNA (ENSPVIG00000012735.1)
Source: RNAcentral